AUGAUGAUCCCGGCGAGGCACAUGCCGUCGUCGAUGAUCGGCCGGAGCAGCGGCGGCGCGCCCUACGGAUCCUCAUCAGCACUGUCGCUUGGCCAGCCAAACCUGCUGGACGGCAGCAACCAGCACCUCCUGCCGCACCACCUCCUGGAGCAGAUCCCGGCGCGCGCAGCGGAGAGCGGCGACAACAACGGCAGCGUCGGCGGCGGCGUGGGCAUGAUCCGCGGGCGUGACUCCAUGGACCCGCUGGGGGACGAGUUCGAGAGCCGGUCCGGCAGCGAGAACGUGGACGGCGACGCCGUGGACAACGCGGAGCAGGAGCAGGACCCCAACCAGCGGCCGCGCAAGAAGCGCUACCACCGCCACACCCAGCACCAGAUCCAGGAGAUGGAAGCGUUCUUCAAGGAGUGCCCGCACCCUGACGACAAGCAGCGCAAGGAGCUGAGCCGGGAGCUGGGGCUGGAGCCCCUCCAGGUCAAGUUCUGGUUCCAGAACAAGAGGACCCAAAUGAAGAACCAGCACGAGAGGCACGAGAACUCGCAGCUGCGGGCGGACAACGACAAGCUGCGGGCCGAGAACAUGCGCUACAAGGAGGCGCUCAGCAGCGCGUCCUGCCCCAACUGCGGCGGCCCGGCGGCGCUCGGCGAGAUGUCGUUCGACGAGCACCACCUCCGCGUCGAGAACGCGCGCCUGCGCGACGAGAUCGACCGCAUCUCCGCCAUCGCCGCCAAGUACGUCGGCAAGCCCAUGGUGCCCUUCCCGGUGCUCUCCAGCCCGCUCGCCGCCGCCCCCGGGGCCUCCGCCUACGACGUCUUCGCCGGGGCCGCCUCCGUGCUGCAGGCGCCGCCCGACGACAAGCAGCAGGGCGUCGUCGUCGAGCUGGCUGUGGCAGCUAUGGAGGAGCUGCUCCGCAUGGCGCGCCUCGACGACCCGCUCUGGGCCACCACGGUGGACCAGGCGCUCGCGCUGGACGAGGAGGAGUAUGCCAGGAUGUUCAUCGACCCACGCGGCGGCCUUGGGCCGAAGCAGUAUGGCCUCGUCUCUGAGGCAUCGCGCGACGCCGCCGUCGUCAUCAUGACCCCCGCCAGCCUCGUCGAGAUCCUCAUGGACGUCAACCAGUACGCGGCGGUGUUCUCGAGCAUCGUGUCGAGGGCGGCGACCCUGGAGGUGCUGUCCACCGGCGUGGCCGGGUGCUACGACGGCGCGCUGCAGGUCAUGUCGGUGGAGUUCCAGGUGCCGUCGCCGCUGGUGCCGACGAGGGAGAGCUACUUCGUGCGCUACUGCAAGCGCAACGCUGAUGGGGCCUGGGCCGUCGUGGACGUGUCGCUGGACGGCCUGCAGGGGGUCAAGUGCCGGCGCAGGCCCUCCGGCUGCCUCAUCCAGGAGGCGCCCAACGGCUACUCCAAGGUGACGUGGGUGGAGCACGUGGAGGUGGACGACAGGUCCGUGCACAAUAUCUACAAGCCGCUGGUCGGCUCCGGCCUCGCCUUCGGUGCACGCCGGUGGGUCGGCGUCCUCGGCCGACAGUGCGAGCGCCUUGCCAGCGCCAUGGCCAGCAACAUCCCAACCAGCGAUAUCGGAGUGAUCACUAGCUCGGAGGGGAGGAAGAGCAUGCUAAAGCUAGCGGAGAGGAUGGUCGCGAGCUUCUGUGGCGGCGUGACGGCCUCUGUGGCGCACCAAUGGACCACGCUGUCAGGCAGCGGCGCCGAGGACGUGAGGGUCAUGACCAGGAAAAGCGUCGACGACCCCGGGAGGCCACCAGGCAUUGUCCUCAACGCCGCCACCUCCUUCUGGCUCCCCGUCCCACCUAAGCGCGUCUUCGACUUCCUCCGCGACGAGACCUCUCGCAGUGAGUGGGACAUCCUCUCCAAUGGCGGCAUCGUCCAAGAAAUGGCUCACAUCGCCAAUGGCCGCGACCAUGGCAACUGCGUCUCGCUCCUCCGUGUCAAUAGCACCAACUCUAACCAAAGCAACAUGCUGAUCCUGCAAGAGAGCUGCACAGACGCGUCAGGCUCCUACGUCAUCUACGCGCCGGUGGACGUGGUGGCCAUGAACGUGGUGCUCAACGGCGGCGACCCAGACUACGUCGCGCUCCUGCCAUCAGGCUUCGCCAUCCUGCCCGACGGUCCUGCAGGGACAAUGCACGCCGCGGCAGGGGCAACCGGCACCGGUGGGUCGCUCCUGACGGUGGCGUUCCAGAUCCUGGUCGACUCCGUCCCCACUGCCAAGCUCUCCCUAGGGUCGGUGGCCACCGUCAACAGCCUCAUCGCCUGCACCGUGGAGCGCAUCAAGACCGCCGUCAUCUCCAAUGGCGGCGCCUCACCCCCGCAGUAG
This 2331-nucleotide ribosomal RNA is filed under the name Triticum aestivum (bread wheat). RNAcentral describes it as "partial small subunit ribosomal RNA". The record is from RNAcentral. Lineage: Eukaryota; Viridiplantae; Streptophyta; Magnoliopsida; Poales; Poaceae.